RNAcentral lists this ribosomal RNA (505 nucleotides) under uncultured bacterium. RNAcentral describes it as "partial 16S ribosomal RNA". It matches the Rfam family "Bacterial small subunit ribosomal RNA", at positions 28 to 507 of the family's 1533-position model. The record is from RNAcentral.
GACGAACGCUGGCGGCGUGCCUAAUACAUGCAAGUAGAACGCACAGUUUAUACCGUAGCUUGCUACACCAUAGACUGUGAGUUGCGAACGGGUGAGUAACGCGUAGGUAACCUGCCUGGUAGCGGGGGAUAACUAUUGGAAACGAUAGCUAAUAUCGCAUAAUAUUAAUUAUUGCAUGAUAAUUAAUUGAAAGGUGCAAUCGCACCACUACCAGAUGGACCUGCGUUGUAUUAGCUAGUAGGUGAGGUAACGGCUCACCUAGGCGACGAUACAUAGCCGACCUGGGGGGGUGAUCGGCCACACUGGGACUGAGACACGGCCCAGACUCCUGCGGGAGGCAGCAGUAGGGAAGCUUCGGCAAUGGACGAAAGUCUGACCGAGCAACGCCGCGUGAGUGAAGAAGGUUUUCGGAUCGUAAAGCUCUGUUGUAAGAGAAGAACGGGUGUGAGAGUGGAAAGUUCACACUGUGACGGUAUCUUACCAGAAAGGGACGGCUAACUACGUG